GAUCAUGGCUCAGGAUGAACGCUAGCUACAGGCUUAACACAUGCAAGUCGAGGGGCAGCAUUUUAGUUUGCUUGCAAACUGAAGAUGGCGACCGGCGCACGGGUGAGUAACACGUAUCCAACCUGCCGAUAACUCCGGGAUAGCCUUUCGAAAGAAAGAUUAAUACCGGAUGGCAUACGAAUAUCGCAUGAUGUUUUUAUUAAAGAAUUUCGGUUAUCGAUGGGGAUGCGUUCCAUUAG
This 239-nucleotide ribosomal RNA is filed under the name uncultured bacterium. Its description in RNAcentral is "partial 16S ribosomal RNA". It matches the Rfam family "Bacterial small subunit ribosomal RNA", at positions 15 to 244 of the family's 1533-position model. The record is from RNAcentral.